RNAcentral lists this non-coding RNA (25 nucleotides) under Arabidopsis thaliana (thale cress). The record is from RNAcentral. Lineage: Eukaryota; Viridiplantae; Streptophyta; Magnoliopsida; Brassicales; Brassicaceae.
UGAUAACACCCCUUCUGAUUCGGGU